AGUGCUACGUUAGGAUAGCGGCGUUCGAUAAGUC
RNAcentral lists this non-coding RNA (34 nucleotides) under Chloropicon mariensis. The record is from RNAcentral. Lineage: Eukaryota; Viridiplantae; Chlorophyta; Chloropicophyceae; Chloropicales; Chloropicaceae.